AUAUUUGAUCUAUGAUCAUUGAGAUCAAGGUUUGAGAUCGACACUUACUCAAGAAUUUUUCUAAAUUGGUGGAGAUUUUGGGGCUAGCUCCUGCUCCACCACGGGUUGAUCCGGUAUUGCAAUUUGCAGUACCACCGGGAUCAGCCCACAUAAU
Non-coding RNA from Acyrthosiphon pisum (pea aphid), 154 nucleotides. The record is from Rfam. Lineage: Eukaryota; Metazoa; Arthropoda; Insecta; Hemiptera; Aphididae.